UACGGAGGGGGCUAGCGUUGUUCUGAAUUACUGGGCGUAAAGCGCACGUAGGCGGACUGGUAAGUUGGGGGUGAAAUCCCGGGGCUCAACCUCGGAACUGCCUUCAAAACUAUCAGUCUGGAGUUCGAGAGAGGUGAGUGGAAUACCGAGUGUAGAGGUGAAAUUCGUAGAUAUUCGGUGGAACACCAGUGGCGAAGGCGGCUCACUGGCUCGAUACUGACGCUGAGGUGCGAAAGCGUGGGGAGCAAACAGG
Molecule: ribosomal RNA, 253 nt
Filed under: uncultured bacterium
Lineage: Bacteria
Description: partial 16S ribosomal RNA
Rfam family: Bacterial small subunit ribosomal RNA
Source: RNAcentral